CUUGAUAACAUAAGAGGUCCAGCCUGCCCAGUGACUCAAUUCAACGGCCGCGGUAUCCUAACCGUGCAAAGGUAGCGUAAUCACUUGUCUUCUAAAUAAAGACUAGUAUGAAAGGCACCACGAGAACUAAACUGUCUCCUUUUUCUAAUCAGUGAACCUAAUCUCCCUGUGAAAAAGCAGGGAUUUAAUAAUAAGACGAGAAGACCCUAUGGAGCUUUAAACACAUAACACUGCCCUUUCACACCACAAUGUUCCAUGCACAAUGAUUAAGAGUUUUUAGUUGGGGUGACUACGGAGUAAACCCACCCUCCGCGAUGAAUCUUAAACAAGCGACAGCUUUAUACAUCAGCAAACUGACACCAUUGACCCAAUUUAUUGAUCAACGAAC
RNAcentral lists this ribosomal RNA (388 nucleotides) under Pristimantis zeuctotylus (Sipaliwini robber frog). RNAcentral describes it as "partial large subunit ribosomal RNA". It matches the Rfam family "Bacterial large subunit ribosomal RNA", at positions 1834 to 2457 of the family's 2925-position model. RNAcentral also lists the same sequence under 1 other name. Lineage: Eukaryota; Metazoa; Chordata; Amphibia; Anura; Strabomantidae. The record is from RNAcentral.